UGGGGAAUUUUACACAAUGGGCGAAAGCCUGAUGUAGCAACGCCGCGUGGAGGAUGACGGAUCUAGGUCUGUAAACUCCUUUUAUAAGGGAAGAAAUUUGACGGUACCUUAUGAAUAAGCACCGGCUAACUCCGUGCCAGCAGCCGCGGUAAUACGGGGGGUGCAAGCGUUACUCGGAAUCACUGGGCGUAAAGGGAGCGUAGGCGUUUUAUUAAGUCUUGAGUGAAAGCUCGCAGCUCAACUGCGGAACUGCUCAGGAAACUGAUAGAAUUGAGUAUGGAAGAGGUAGGUGGAAUUUCCGGUGUAGGGGUAAAAAUCCGUAGAUAUCGGAAGGAAUACCAGAAGCGAAGGCGACCUACUGGGACAUUACUGACGCUGAGGCUCGAAAGCGUGGGGAGCAAAACAGGAUUAGAUACCCUGGUAGUCCACGCCCUAAAACGAUGAACACUAAGUCGUUACGGAGCUAGUCUCUGUAGUGACGCAGCU
This 486-nucleotide ribosomal RNA is filed under the name uncultured bacterium. RNAcentral's name for it is "partial 16S ribosomal RNA". It matches the Rfam family "Bacterial small subunit ribosomal RNA", at positions 355 to 853 of the family's 1533-position model. The record is from RNAcentral.